This 860-nucleotide ribosomal RNA is filed under the name uncultured bacterium. RNAcentral's name for it is "bacterial SSU rRNA". It matches the Rfam family "Bacterial small subunit ribosomal RNA", at positions 511 to 1397 of the family's 1533-position model. The record is from RNAcentral.
GCAGCCGCGGUAAUACGGAGGGGGUUAGCGUUGUUCGGAAUUACUGGGCGUAAAGCGCACGUAGGCGGAUCGGAAAGUUGGGGGUGAAAUCCCGGGGCUCAACCCCGGAACUGCCUCCAAAACUAUCGGUCUAGAGUUCGAGAGAGGUGAGUGGAGUUCCGAGUGUAGAGGUGAAAUUCGUAGAUAUUCGGAGGAACACCAGUGGCGAAGGCGGCUCACUGGCUCGAUACUGACGCUGAGGUGCGAAAGUGUGGGGAGCAAACAGGAUUAGAUACCCUGGUAGUCCACACCGUAAACGAUGAAUGCCAGUCGUCGGGCAGCAUGCUAUUCGGUGACACACCUAACGGAUUAAGCAUUCCGCCUGGGGAGUACGGUCGCAAGAUUAAAACUCAAAGGAAUUGACGGGGGCCCGCACAAGCGGUGGAGCAUGUGGUUAAUUCGAAGCAACGCGCAGAACCUUACCAACCCUUGACAUCCUAGGACCGGCCCAGAGAUGGGUCUUUCACUUCGGUGACCUAGUGACAGGUGCUGCAUGGCUGUCGUCAGCUCGUGUCGUGAGAUGUUCGGUUAAGUCCGGCAACGAGCGCAACCCACAUCCUUAGUUGCCAGCAGUUCGGCUGGGCACUCUAGGGAAACUGCCCGUGAUAAGCGGGAGGAAGGUGUGGAUGACGUCAAGUCCUCAUGGCCCUUACGGGUUGGGCUACACACGUGCUACAAUGGCAGUGACAAUGGGUUAAUCCCAAAAAACUGUCUCAGUUCGGAUUGGGGUCCGCAACUCACCCCAUGAAGUCGGAAUCGCUAAUAUCGCGUAACAGCAUGACGCGGUGAAUACGUUCCCGGGCCUUGUACACACCGCCCGU